AGUGAACGCUGGCGGUAGGCCUAACACAUGCAAGUCGAACGGCAGCACAGUAAGAGCUUGCUCUUACGGGUGGCGAGUGGCGGACGGGUGAGGAAUACAUCGGAAUCUACUUUUUCGUGGGGGAUAACGUAGGGAAACUUACGCUAAUACCGCAUACGACCUACGGGUGAAAGCAGGGGAUCUUCGGACCUUGCGCGAUUGAAUGAGCCGAUGUCGGAUUAGCUAGUUGGCGGGGUAAAGGCCCACCAAGGCGACGAUCCGUAGCUGGUCUGAGAGGAUGGUCAGCCACACUGGAACUGAGACACGGUCCAGACUCCUACGGGAGGCAGCAGUGGGGAAUAUUGGACAAUGGGCGCAAGCCUGAUCCAGCCAUACCGCGUGGGUGAAGAAGGCCUUCGGGUUGUAAAGCCCUUUUGUUGGGAAAGAAAAGCAGCAGGUUAAUACCCCGCUAUUCUGACGGUACCCAAAGAAUAAGCACCGGCUAACUUCGUG
This 492-nucleotide ribosomal RNA is filed under the name uncultured bacterium. Its description in RNAcentral is "partial 16S ribosomal RNA". It matches the Rfam family "Bacterial small subunit ribosomal RNA", at positions 29 to 507 of the family's 1533-position model. The record is from RNAcentral.